AUGGCCGUCCCAAGAAGGUCUUUGGAUGGCAGGUUGUUCUGGGUGCUGGGCCUUGUUUGUGCCAUGUAUCAGAUAUUUUUUGUUCGGUCAGCAGCGGGUCAAACAGCACAGUUGAGUGUGAAUGCUUCACCUCAGAAUACUCAGAUGAUUCCUGAGAAUAUGUUUGGCAUCUUUUUCGAGGAGAUUAAUCAUGCCGGGGCUGGUGGGUUGUGGGCCGAACUUGUAAAUAAUAGAGGUUUUGAAGCUGGUGGUCCUAAUACUCCUUCAAACAUUGACCCAUGGUUGAUAAUUGGAGAUGAAUCGAACAUUAUUGUUGCAACCGACCGCUCAUCCUGUUUUGCAACUAAUCCAAUCGCACUUCGGAUGGAAGUACUUUGUGAAUCUAGUGGAAAUGAUGUCUGCCCACCAGGAGGUGUCGGUAUUUAUAAUCCUGGUUUCUGGGGCAUGAAUAUUGAGGAAGCGAAGGUUUAUAAAGUCAGCAUGUACAUCAGGUCAUCAGACUCCAUGGAUCUAACAGUUUCCUUGACAAGUUCAGAUGGUCUUCAGAAUCUAGCUGCUUAUACCAUCACGGCUGAUAAGGAAGAUUUUAAAGAGUGGACGAAGGUUGAGUUUGAUCUGCAAUCAAGUGAAAGAAAUUCCAACUCAAGGCUUCAGCUUACAACCAGAACAAGUGGCAUUGUUUGGUUUGAUCAAGUAUCACUUAUGCCAUCUGAUACUUACAUGGGGCAUGGUUGUCGUAAAGAUCUUGCGUCUAUGCUGGCAAAUCUAAAGCCUAAAUUUUUGAAAUUCCCAGGUGGAAACUAUGUCAUGGGAAACUAUCUGUCAAAUGCAUUUCGCUGGAGUGAAACUGUUGGACCCUGGGAGGAGAGACCUGGUCAUUUUAAUGAUGUUUGGGGCUACUGGACUGAUGAUGGACUUGGAUUCUUUGAGUUCCUUCAAUUAGCAGAAGACCUUGGUGCUUGCCCAGUUUGGGUGGUCAAUGAUGGGGCUAGCCGAAAUGAACAAGUGCCAUCUGCCACAAUAGCUGCUUUUGUAAAGGAUGUUGUUGACGGCAUUGACUUUGCGAGGGGAGACCCUGGGACUUCAUGGGGUUCAGUUCGUGCAGCAAUGGGACACCCAGAGCCCUUUCAGCUUAAUUAUAUUUCUAUAGGAAAUCAGGAAUGCUCAAUGCACUACUAUAAAGAGAAUUACCGCAAGUUCUAUUCUGCAAUAAAAGCAUCCUACCCAGAUAUCAAAAUCAUAUCCAGCUGUGAUAGAUCUACCAUUUCACCGGUCGAACCUGCUGAUCUGUAUGAUGUUCAUGUCUAUACCUCAUCUGGUGAUAUGUUUUCCAAAUCUAGCAUGUUUGACAGCACACCCCGGGGCGGACCGAAGGCAAUUGUUAGUGAAUAUGCUGUGACCGGAAAUGAUGCUGGCCGAGGAACACUAGUAGCUGCUCUAGCUGAAGCUGCAUUUCUUAUUGGAUUAGAAAGAAACAGCGACGCGGUUGAAAUGGCAAGUUGUGCUCCACUCUUCGUAAAUGACAAUGAUCACAGGUGGAGUCCAGAUGCCAUAGUCUUCAACUCAUGGCAGCACUAUGGAUGUCCAAACUACUGGAUGUUACACUUCUUCAAGGAGUCAAGCGGCGCGGCACUUCAUCCAUCUACCAUUCAUGUAUCGAACUAUAACCAACUGGUCGCAUCGGCUAUCACGUGGCAGAAUUCUAAAGAUGGAAAUACCUACCUAAAAAUAAAGGUUCUCAAUUUCGGCAACAAGGCUAUAGAUCUUAGUAUCUCUAUAACUGGGCUGGAGAAUGAGGUUCAGACAUUUGGAUCCAUAAAGACGGUACUUACAUCUGGUUCCCUGCGGGAUGAGAACUCCUUCCAGCAACCAGACAAGGUGGUGCCGGUGGAAAGCCCGAUAAGCAAUGCGAGGGAGGAGAUGAGCCUUGUACUGGAUCCAUACUCCCUCACCUCGUUUGAUCUCCUCUUGGACCUGAAGUCAAGCUUGCAGAUGAUGCAUUCAGUCCCGGAGUCAAGCUUGCAUUCAAGUAUGUGA
RNAcentral lists this ribosomal RNA (2037 nucleotides) under Triticum aestivum (bread wheat). Its description in RNAcentral is "partial small subunit ribosomal RNA". Lineage: Eukaryota; Viridiplantae; Streptophyta; Magnoliopsida; Poales; Poaceae. The record is from RNAcentral.